RNAcentral lists this ribosomal RNA (468 nucleotides) under uncultured bacterium. RNAcentral describes it as "partial 16S ribosomal RNA". It matches the Rfam family "Bacterial small subunit ribosomal RNA", at positions 28 to 507 of the family's 1533-position model. The record is from RNAcentral.
GACGAACGCUGGCGGCGUGCUUAACACAUGCAAGUCGAACGGAAAGGCCCUGCGCUUGUGGGGUGCUCGAGUGGCGAACGGGUGAGUAACACGCGUGUAACCUGCCCUUGUCUUUGGGAUAACUUCAGGAAACUGGGGCUAAUACCGGAUAGGAUCUCCUGCUGCAUGGUGGGGGUUGGAAAGUUUCGGCGGUUGGGGAUGUACUCGCGGCUUAUCAGCUUGUUUGUGAGGUAGGUGCGUACCAAGGCUUUGACGGGUAGCCGGCCUGAGAGGGUGAACGGCCACCUUGGGACUGAGAGACGGCCCAGAAGCCUACGGGAGGCAGCAGUGGAGAACAUUACAGAAUGGGCGGAAGCCUGAUGCAGAGACGCCGCGUGCGGGAUAACCGCCUUUGGGUUGUAAACCGAUUUCGCCUGUGACGAAGCGUGAGUGACGGUAAUGGGUCAAAAAGCACCGGCUAACUACGUG